RNAcentral lists this ribosomal RNA (253 nucleotides) under uncultured bacterium. RNAcentral's name for it is "partial 16S ribosomal RNA". It matches the Rfam family "Bacterial small subunit ribosomal RNA", at positions 524 to 776 of the family's 1533-position model. The record is from RNAcentral.
UACAGAGGGUGCGAGCGUUAAUCGGAAUUACUGGGCGUAAAGCGUGCGUAGACGGUAGCGUAAGUCAGAUGUGAAAGCCCCGGGCUCAACCUGGGAAUUGCAUUUGAGACUGCUCUGCUCGGGUGCGGAAGAGGGAAGCGGAAUUUCCGGUGUAGCGGUGAAAUGCGUAGAUAUCGGAAGGAACACCAGUGGCGAAAGCGGCUUCCUGGACCAUAACUGACGCUGAUGCACGAAAGCUAGGGGAGCAAACAGG